CCCCAAAUAAAACAUCUGCCUUUUCAAUUCAGACAGCUAUAAGUGAAGAAAUACACCAGGGGAGCAGAAUUAUGUUCUCUUUUCGAAAGUAGAGAUGUUUACAAAGACAGGCUUCUGACACCAGCUGCCUGGUCUGCAUCACCAAUGAGCUGGCACGGGGCUGCCAGAGAAGGUGAGCACCAUUAGCCCCAUUCCUCCUGCUCACCUGGAAGGGGCAGCAGCAGCUCCUGCUCGUUAAUCCUCCAUCCUGUAUUAAUUGACCUUUUACAGGGGCUACUUGAGACCUGCAAGCUCUGAGGUCAUUAGUUCUCAAAGUGCUCUCUGUUUUUCUGUAGCAUCUAUUUGCAUGGCAUUUGUGGUUUUAACAUGCUUUAAAAUCAUUUCUCUCCUGAGGCCUUAUGGUGCUAUUUUGCUUUUCUGUUAAGCCAUCAGAAGGGGAUGAUACCGAUGCUAACUUUCCUCCAAGCUUGUUCUAAGUACAGACGUCUGGGGGCAAAAGGGUGAAGUGAGCAUAGGAAAACCAAGCCCAGCUGACUUUUGGGGAACAGAAAAACAUCAUUCUGAAGAGUGGUACCACAUCCAAGUGUUUAUAGAUAUGAGCAUAGACAUGGAUGAGAAAUGGACACGAUAUUAACUUCACUUCAGCGAGGCCUGGCCUGCACCUUGUCAACUGCAGGUUUUUGGACAUCAGUGGCAUAAAAACAGCCAUAGGAAAUUAACACAAAUGCCCACCUUGAAGUUUGUGGAGAUUAGAGAUGGCGUGUGUUAUGCAUCUGGAAGAUGAUCAGUAAAGAGCAUCGUCAUAUUUGCUGUGCACUUCUGAGCCUGAUAGUAGAGAUCUCUGGCCUGAAAGUGACAGCCAUGUCUACAAAAGUCAUAAUAGCAUUAAAGCAAAUAGAAUGUUAUAGUUUAUAAAGCUACUUAAUAGGCGUUAUUAAAUUUAAACCUCAUAAGAAAUCAGUACAAGUUAGGAUUAUAAAAAUGGAAUUUAAAAUUCUAAAUAAAACAUUAAAAAAUUCCCUAAUUUGCACAUGAAGGAACCAUGGUUUCCAGAGAUUUUAACUUUCUCCCACAGUCAUAAAGGGAAUAAGUUCUGAAAUCUGAAAUUGCAUCCCAUUAUUCUGAGUUCAGGAUAUUUUAUCUGUUAUAUUUGGUUGAAAUCUUCAUAUUUUCUGCUGUUGCUCCUUGUGAUGAAGCCUGGUCUGUAGCUUCCUUUUCAUUUGCACCCCUCUCUCUCUCUCUCUUUUUUUAUAGUGAAGCUGGAAAUUCAAAGAAAAAGACCGCAGUCCCCAUUUCCCUUUCGUCCCUCUACUCCACCCCUAAGUCCUAACAAAAGAAAUUCCCUUUGCACUUAAAAUUUUUUUUUUCUUGGUUUUUUGGGGUUUUGGAGAAAUCUUUCUAAAAAUUGAGAGCAGCCUUCCUUCUUAAUAUUAUCCCUUUGUGAUUAAGUAUCACGUAAUGGCAGAACACAAAAUAGACAAUGUUAGAGAAUUCUGACAUCUGCGCUGUCGCUUCCUUGCUACAGCCGUUGGUGAAACAGUUCACUCAAGCUCACUCUGCUUCAGGCUCCCCCUCUGAAAAUCCAAUGGCAUUGCUAUAUUACUCUGAAAUGUUAUUUUCAGAAUAACAGCUUCAAAUGCUUAGAAAGCUUUUAAAACAUUCUGCGUCCAUUUAAAUGCAUGUUUCAAACCAGGCUUCCAAAUGUCCUGUGAUUCAAAAACACCUUUAGGUAAUAUCCUCAAAGUAAAUUCCAGCCAUUGAUUGACAGAAAUGAACUCCUAGGGUGUUGAAAUAUACAUCUACCCUUUAUUGCCGCAUCCACUUAAGCACUUUACAAUGUGGAGUCAAAUCUGUGAGAACAGCCCUUUGGACAUGUUCCUCUUGUCG
Equus caballus (horse) is the source of this 1887-nucleotide long non-coding RNA. The record is from Ensembl. Lineage: Eukaryota; Metazoa; Chordata; Mammalia; Perissodactyla; Equidae.